AAACAAACAAACACAUAUCUAAACGAUGUGUAUUAAUUUAUUUAAAAGAAAACAAGAGGUUCACGAUGGCUGCGGAAUUGCUGAAAAGAGAGCGUGAGGCGAAUUGGUCCCAUGAGGGAAAAAGACUGCUUCCGUGAAGUUAUAAAGCCUUUGUUAUAAAAUUUACUAUACUUCUUUAUACAAAUUACGAAAUAAAUUGACCAUGAACA
Molecule: long non-coding RNA, 209 nt
Organism: Rhagoletis zephyria (snowberry fruit fly)
Lineage: Eukaryota; Metazoa; Arthropoda; Insecta; Diptera; Tephritidae
Source: RefSeq, a predicted model, not a curated record